RNAcentral lists this ribosomal RNA (510 nucleotides) under uncultured bacterium. Its description in RNAcentral is "partial 16S ribosomal RNA". It matches the Rfam family "Bacterial small subunit ribosomal RNA", at positions 28 to 507 of the family's 1533-position model. The record is from RNAcentral.
GACGAACGCUGGCGGCGUGCUUAACACAUGCAAGUCGAACGAAGAGCGAUGGAAGCUUGCUUCUAUCAAUCUUAGUGGCGAACGGGUGAGUAACGCGUAAUCAACCUGCCCUUCAGAGGGGGACAACAGUUGGAAACGACUGCUAAUACCGCAUACGAUCUAAACUCGGCAUCGAGGAUAGAUGAAAGGUGGCCUCUACAUGUAAGCUAUCACUGAAGGAGGGGAUUGCGUCUGAUUAGCUAGUUGGGGGGGUAACGGCCCACCAAGGCGAUGAUCAGUAGCCGGUCUGAGAGGAUGAACGGCCACAUUGGGACUGAGACACGGCCCAGCCUCCUACGGGAGGCAGCAGUGGGGAAUCUUCCGCAAUGGACGAAAGUCUGACGGAGCAACGCCGCGUGAGUGAUGACGGCCUUCGGGUUGUAAAGCUCUGUUAAUCGGGACGAAAGGCCUUCUUGCGAAUAGUGAGAAGGAUUGACGGUACCGGAAUAGAAAGCCACGGCUAACUACGUG